GAAGACGUGCCUGAGUAAGGACUACCUUGAUAGAGUAGACACGGAACCCAGAAAUUCCCGUCUUCC
This 66-nucleotide transfer RNA is filed under the name Sinomicrurus peinani. Its description in RNAcentral is "tRNA-Ile". Lineage: Eukaryota; Metazoa; Chordata; Lepidosauria; Squamata; Elapidae. The record is from RNAcentral.